GAUGAACGUUAGCGGCAGGCCUAAUACAUGCAAGUCGAACGAUAUCAUCCAGCUUGCUGGAUGAGAAAGUGGCGCACGGGUGCGUAACGCGUAUGCAACCUACCUUUAUCUGGGGGAUAGCCCGGAGAAAUCCGGAUUAAUACCGCAUAAAAUCACAGGAUGGCAUUAUCCAAUGAUCAAACAUUUAUGGGAUGAAGAUGGGCAUGCGUGUCAUUAGCUAGUUGGCGGGGUAACGGCCCACCAAGGCGACGAUGACUAGGGGAUCUGAGAGGAUGGCCCCCCACACUGGUACUGAGACACGGACCAGACUCCUACGGGAGGCAGCAGUAAGGAAUAUUGGUCAAUGGAGGCAACUCUGAACCAGCCAUGCCGCGUGCAGGAAGACUGCCCUAUGGGUUGUAAACUGCUUUUAUCCGGGAAUAAACCACAUUACGUGUAAUGUGCUGAAUGUACCGGAAGAAUAAGGAUCGGCUAACUCCGUGCCAGCAGCCGCGGUAAUACGGAGGAUCCAAGCGUUAUCCGGAUUUAUUGGGUUUAAAGGGUGCGUAGGCGGCCUGUUAAGUCAGGGGUGAAAGACGGUAGCUCAACUAUCGCAGUGCCCUUGAUACUGAUGGGCUUGAAUGGACUAGAGGUAGGCGGAAUGAGACAAGUAGCGGUGAAAUGCAUAGAUAUGUCUCAGAACACCGAUUGCGAAGGCAGCUUACUAUGGUCUUAUUGACGCUGAGGCACGAAAGCGUGGGGAUCAAACAGGAUUAGAUACCCUGGUAGUCCACGCCCUAAACGAUGAACACUCGCUGUUGGCGAUACACAGUCAGCGGCUAAGCGAAAGCGUUAAGUGUUCCACCUGGGGAGUACGCCCGCAAGGGUGAAACUCAAAGGAAUUGACGGGGGCCCGCACAAGCGGAGGAGCAUGUGGUUUAAUUCGAUGAUACGCGAGGAACCUUACCCGGGCUUGAAAGUUAGUGAAUUAUCCAGAGAUGGAUAAGUGAGCAAUCACACGAAACUAGGUGCUGCAUGGCUGUCGUCAGCUCGUGCCGUGAGGUGUUGGGUUAAGUCCCGCAACGAGCGCAACCCCUAUGUUUAGUUGCCAGCAUGUAAUGAUGGGGACUCUAAACAGACUGCCUGUGCAAACAGAGAGGAAGGAGGGGACGACGUCAAGUCAUCAUGGCCCUUACGUCCGGGGCUACACACGUGCUACAAUGGAUGGUACAGAGGGCAGCUACAUAGCAAUAUGAUGCGAAUCUCACAAAGCCAUUCACAGUUCGGAUUGGGGUCUGCAACUCGACCCCAUGAAGUUGGAUUCGCUAGUAAUCGCGUAUCAGCAAUGACGCGGUGAAUACGUUCCCGGGCCU
This 1352-nucleotide ribosomal RNA is filed under the name uncultured bacterium. RNAcentral describes it as "bacterial SSU rRNA". It matches the Rfam family "Bacterial small subunit ribosomal RNA", at positions 28 to 1381 of the family's 1533-position model. The record is from RNAcentral.